AUCACACAACAAUAAUGAAUGGAAACACGUCGUGGCCAAGAAAGUUGAGCAGCAACUAAAAGUAACAGUUAGUCGGCUUUUCAAAGUUUUCUGUCGUGAGAGGAAAUGUGUCGUAAGUAAUGGAUUGGCCAAACACACUAGAAAGUACUUUCUGGAGGAGAAAGCAGCUGUUCUUUUAUUGUUUCUUUUGAAAGUAAGUGUUGAAGGGAGACUACAGUGGAAAACACUGUAAACCUAACCUGUUAGUAAUUGUAAAUGGCAUUUUGGGACAUUAAUACGAGACCACUUCAUUGUCAGUUGUUUUUUCUCGGCUUUGAGAAGUGGACUGUUUGGAUUAAUCCAUUGAUGAAACAUUUGGGAUACUUUUGAGAGUUUUUGACUGGAUUAUCAUCUCUGAAGAAAACGCUGAAGGAUUUACGAAGUUUGCUGGAGAGGAAAAUAGCACAUCAGGGGCAAAAUGGGUAAUAUAGAGAGUGUGGACGGCCAGUCGGAGAUGAAGCAUCACAUUAUGCCUCUGAAGGUGCCCAUGCCUGACCCCACCGAGCUGGAGGAGAAGUUUGCAAUUGUUUUGAAUUCUAUGAACCUGCCUCCUGAUAAAGCCCGCCUCCUCAGACAGUAUGACAAUGAAAAGAAGUGGGACCUAAUCUGCGACCAGGAGAGAUUUCAGGUCAAGAAUCCACCUCACACUUACAUCCAGAAGCUACGAGGAUACUUAGACCCUGGAGUCACACGAAAGAAAUUUCGUAGGCGGGUUCAGGAAUCUACCAAAGUCUUGAGGGAGCUGGAGAUCUCACUGAGAACAAACCACAUCGGGUGGGUCAGGGAGUUCCUCAAUGAUGAGAACCGAGGCCUUGACGUCCUGGUGGAGUACCUCUCCUUUGCCCAGUGUGCUGUCAUGUUUGACUUUGAGGGGCUGGAGAAUGGGGAGGAUGGCUACUUGGAUAAGGCUAAAUCUUGGAGCAGGUCCAUUGAGGAUCUGCACCAUACAGGCACACAACCCUUCUGCAACACACUGGUGCGCUCAGCCCGCCAGUCAGUCCUCCGCUAUGGCACGGUUUCCAACAGCAAAACCAUCAAGAACUCCCGGCUCGUGAGCCAAAAAGACGAUGUGCACGUAUGCAUCAUGUGCUUGAGAGCCAUCAUGAACUAUCAGUAUGGCUUCAAUAUGGUCAUGUCUCACGCACAUGCAGUAAAUGAAAUUGCUCUCAGCUUGAACAAUAAGAACUCACGGACAAAAGCCUUGGUUCUGGAGCUGCUGGCUGCUGUCUGUCUCGUCCGCGGAGGUCACGAGAUCAUCCUCUCAGCAUUUGACAACUUCAAAGAGGUGUGUAAGGAGAAGCAUCGCUUUGAGAGACUGAUGGAGUAUUUCCGCUGUGAGGAAGGAAACAUCGACUACAUGGUUGCUUGCAUGCAGUUUAUAAACAUCGUGGUCCACUCAGUGGAGGACAUGAACUUCAGAGUCCACCUGCAGUAUGAAUUCACUAAGCUGGGACUGGAUGAUUACCUGGAGAAAUGCAAACACACAGAGAGUGACAAGCUGUCAGUGCAGAUCCAGGCCUACCUGGAUAACGUGUUUGAUGUGGGUGGUCUGCUGGAGGAUGCAGAGACGAAGAAUGCAGCACUGGAGAAGGUGGAGGAACUGGAAGAGCACCUGUCCCAUGUGACGGAGAAGCUGCUGGAGGUUGAGAAUGAAACAAUGAUGAAAGUGGCCGAUCUGGAGAAGAUACUAAUUCAGAAAGAUAAAGACCUGCAAUUAAUACGGGAGACAUACGAGUCGACCAACACCCAGGUCAACACCCUGAGGAGGGUGAUCAAAGAGAAGGAUGCCGCCUUCCAGAGACACUUCAACAUUGAGAGGCGGCUGCUGGAGCUGGAACAGCAAGGAACCAUCCGUCUGCACAAGAAACCUGACGGAGACAUCACCAUUGAGCCGCUUGGUGUCGGAGGUGGGGGUAGCGGCCUUGGCAUCCCACUGGGCGACAUUGGGCAGCUGUCUUUGGGUUCAACCGUUGGUUUGACAGAACCAGCAGGAGCAGAUGCUAGUUUACCACCGGCAUGUGAAGCGCCUCCUCCUCCGCCGCCACCUCCACCGCCUCCACCUCCUCUUCCUUCUGCCUCAGGCCCAAGUGCACCAGUCCCACCACCGCCUCCUCCUCUCGCUCCACCUCUGCCAGACGCCUCUCGCUCCGUCAUCCUCAGUGUGGGUCUUUCAGCUAUCAGAAUCAAGAAACCCAUCAAGACCAAGUUCCGCCUUCCUGUGUUUAACUGGACAGCAUUGAAGCCCAAUCAGAUCAACGGCACAGUCUUCAAUGAGAUCGAUGAUGAACGUGUGCUAGAGGAGCUUGAUCUAGAGAAGUUUGAGGAGCUGUUUAAGACCAGAGCUCAGGGUCCUAUCGUGGAUCUCUCCUGCACAAAGAGCAAAGUGGCUCAGAAAGCUGCAAACAAAGUCACACUUCUGGAUGCCAAUCGCUCUAAGAACUUAGCCAUCACUCUGCGUAAGGCUAACAAGACCACAGAGGAGAUCUGCAAAGCAAUAGAGAAGUUCGACCUUAAGGCCUUACCUGUAGACUUUGUGGAGUGCCUGAUGCGUUUCCUGCCCACCGAGGCUGAGGUGAAGGUGCUGCGUCAGUAUGAGCGCGAGCGGCGUCCACUGGACCAGCUUGCAGAGGAAGAUCGCUUCAUGUUGUUUUUCAGUAAGAUCGAGAGGCUAACGCAGAGGAUGAACAUCAUCACCUUUGUUGGGAACUUCUCUGACAACAUCAGCAUGCUUACACCACAACUCAAUGCAAUCAUCGCUGCCUCUGGAUCAGUUAAAUCCUCACCGAAGUUGAAAAAAAUGCUUGAGAUUAUCUUAGCCUUGGGUAACUACAUGAACAGCAGCAAGAGAGGCUGUGUUUAUGGCUUCAAAUUACAAAGUCUUGAUCUGCUGCUGGACACUAAGUCUACAGACAGGAAGAUGACAUUGCUUCACUACAUAGCUCUUAUUGUGAAAGAAAAGUACCCUGAACUAGCCAACUUCUACAAUGAGUUGCACUUUGUGGAUAAAGCUGCGGCAGUGUCUCUGGAAAAUGUGCUGCUGGAUGUUAAGGAGCUGGGGAAAGGCAUGGAUCUAAUUCGGAGAGAGUGCAGCCUCCAUGACCAUCCAGUCCUGAAAGGCUUUGUCCAGUCCAGCGACUCACCGCUGGACAAGCUGCAAAAAGACGCCAAGACAGCUGAGGAAGCCUUCAACAAUGUGGUGAACUACUUCGGAGAGAGCGCCAAGACGACUCCACCCUCUGUGUUCUUCCCCGUGUUUGUGCGCUUCAUCAAGGCCUACAAGGAUGCAGUGGAGGAAAAUGAACAGAGGAAAAAGCAGGAGCAGGCAAUGAGAGAGAAGUUGCUGGCUCAGGAGGCUAAACAGCAUGACCCUAAGGUUCAGGCUCAGAAGAAGAGACACCAGCAGCAGGAGCUGAUCGCAGAGCUGCGCAAGCGUCAAGCCAAAGACCACCGGCCUGUCUACGAGGGCAAGGAUGGCACUAUUGAGGACAUCAUAACAGUCCUGAAGAGCGUGCCCUUCACAGCCCGCACUGCUAAACGUGGCUCACGGUUCUUCUGUGAAGCCAACCUCUGUGACGACGCCAACUGCUAGCCCUCCCCUCCCUCUAAUGCCAAGGUUGUUCAGGUGUCUCUCGUACGCCUCCUGACCCCACUGUGCAUGCAGCAUGAUCCCUGUCACCCACUCAAACCCCACCAGCAAAACUACAACUCCUGUCGACUAACCUGGGCCGUCAUUGGUUGUUUGUUCAAUUUGAGCAGACUCCUAUCAGGCGUCUGGUGAUAGGAGUCGGCCAAACCUCUUUGCCUGUCGCAGGUGUAAAUAAAAGGUUGUUCCAUACAGUUUGUCAACAUAUUUUACAUGUAAAAAUAUGUUUGACACACUCACAGUGUUUAAAUGACCAUCUAAGGCCAUCAUGCAUGAUUUACAGGAUGUUAGAGGCUAUGAAUUAUCGUAACAUAUUUCUGAAGGCAUCCUCUUUGCUGAGCUGAAUGGAACAAUCAUAAAACAAAGAGGUUUGGCUACUUCACUGGUUUAUCAAUGAUGCCUUGUUCCAUGAAACUAACUUGUUUGGUGUUGGUUGUUUCCAAGCUAACAUGUGACUCUUCUUUCCUCAACCCACCACUGUUUAUUCUACCCCCCUCCAGCUGAGAAGAAGAUUAAUGACAGUAUUUCCCACUCCUAAGAGAGGAUCUCCGAAACCAGCCUUUCCUGCGAGCUGAUGCCUUGAUCCGGAGUGGUUGGAAGAGACCCUAAACCACUUGUUUGUCACUUAUACACCCCCCCACCCCACCCUACCCCCAUAUAAACGUCCUCUUUGUGUGUCCACGGUCUGUCUGAACCCUGAGGCUGCAGACUAAAAGAGGGAACAGGACAGAGCCCUUGUCUUAACAGGGGGUAAUUAAUUUAUUUAUGGAAGCCCUUUACAGACAUCAUUACUGAAGCACAGAGGCUUUCUCCUGUCUCCUCGCCCUGUGGGUCAGAGAAGCACUACAGAACCGGCGAGGUGAGUCCAGGACUGGUGGACUACAAAGCAGGAAGAGCAGGUGCCUUCAAACAUGUGGAUUUUAUUCCCAGGACUGUUAAUUUCCUCAGAUUAUACAGUGGUAGCAUGACUUGGAGUGGGAGGCAGCCAGGAACAAUACCAACUUUGCUGCUGCUGGAAUUUUUUUUUUGCUUGAAAAACUCUCCGCUUCAAGAUCAAACCAAGAUACUUGGGAAUCUUUCAAUCAAGACUUUACGUUGACUCCUGCUUAUUUUGAUUUGACGUGUUUCUGGGGUGAAAGAACAUUCAUUAUUCUUCUUUUUUGGACCAGCUAGCCUUACCAAAAUCUCUCAAAUGUCUCAUGUUUUGUUGAAAAAGUGCCUUUUUUGUGUAAACAGUGUUAAAUCCAGUGAGUCAGCCAUAACUUUAUUAUUUUUCAUCCUUCAUUUGUUGAAGAUUGUAUUUUUAUUUCCUUGUACUAUAACAUUAGCCUUAUAAUACCGACAAUAUGCAAGGGUUUCUAGCUUUGAUACAUCAACUAGAAGGUAAGGGGAGUAAUGAUUUUAGGAUUUCUCUUAUUUACCUGUCUUAAAAAUAAAUCAAACUGGCAUUUCUUUGUGCCUUGAGCAAGUGGUCCUUAAAAACAUAACAUUAUAAGCCUUGACAACACUUUCUGUCACACUUAACGUGACGUUUAGGAAGUGACAUAUGUAUAAAUUCCACAUGGACUGCUGUUUGAGGGAUAUAAAUGAAGGAUGGUUCUUUUCUGUUUUGAGCUUCUCCUUUUUUUCUAAAUAGAGAUGUGCUUUUUCUCCUAACAGCUGUUAAACUUUAACAUUGGCACAAAGGGAGCAAUACAUCUUUACACUACAUUUAUAUUAUAGAACAUUCAAAUCAAGAAAUGUACUUUUUGAAGAAAUGAUCCAUGAUAUUGUCUACUGACAGAAAAAUGACACCUCAUGUUUAAUAAAUAAGAUGAAUUAUGUAA
Molecule: RNA transcript, 5508 nt
Organism: Cheilinus undulatus (humphead wrasse)
Lineage: Eukaryota; Metazoa; Chordata; Actinopteri; Labriformes; Labridae
Gene: fmnl3
Gene name: formin-like 3
Exons: 26
Source: RefSeq, a predicted model, not a curated record